Molecule: ribosomal RNA, 290 nt
Filed under: uncultured bacterium
Lineage: Bacteria
Description: partial 16S ribosomal RNA
Rfam family: Bacterial small subunit ribosomal RNA
Source: RNAcentral
CAACGCCGCGUGAGGGAUGUAGGCCUCUGGGCUGUAAACCUCUUUUAUCAAGGAAGAAGAUCUGACGGUACUUGAUGAAUAAGCCACGGCUAAUUCCGUGCCAGCAGCCGCGGUAAUACGGGAGUGGCAAGCGUUAUCCGGAAUUAUUGGGCGUAAAGCGUCCGCAGGCGGUCUUGAAAGUCUGUUGUUAAAGCGUGGAGCUCAACUCCAUUUCAGCAAUGGAAACUAGAAGACUAGAGUGUGGUAGGGGCAGAGGGAAUUCCCGGUGUAGCGGUGAAAUGCGUAGAUAU